AGCGAACGCUGGCGGCAGGCCUAACACAUGCAAGUCGAACGGAUCCUUCGGGAUUAGUGGCGGACGGGUGAGUAACACGUGGGAACGUGCCCUUUGGUUCGGAACAACUCAGGGAAACUUGAGCUAAUACCGGAUGUGCCCUUCGGGGGAAAGAUUUAUCGCCAUUGGAGCGGCCCGCGUCUGAUUAGCUAGUUGGUGGGGUAAAGGCCCACCAAGGCGACGAUCAGUAGCCGGUCCGAGAGGAUGAUCAGCCACAUUGGGACUGAGACACGGCCCGAACUCCUACGGGAGGCAGCAGUGGGGAAUCUUGCGCAAUGGGCUAAAGCCUGACGCGGCCAUGCCGCGUGAAUGAUGAAGGUCUUAGGAUUGUAAAAUUCUUUCACCGGGGACGAUAAUGACGGUACCCGGGGAAGAAGCCCCGGCUAACUUCGUGCCAGCAGCCGCGGUAA
Molecule: ribosomal RNA, 449 nt
Filed under: uncultured bacterium
Lineage: Bacteria
Description: partial 16S ribosomal RNA
Rfam family: Bacterial small subunit ribosomal RNA
Source: RNAcentral